GUGCCAGCAGCCGCGGUAAUACGGAGGGUGCAAGCGUUAUCCGGAUUUACUGGGUUUAAAGGGUGCGUAGGUGGGCAGUUAAGUCAGUGGUGAAAUCUCCGAGCUUAACUCGGAAACUGCCAUUGAUACUAUCUGUCUUGAAUUAUCUGGAGGUGAGCGGAAUAUGUCAUGUAGCGGUGAAAUGCUUAGAUAUGACAUAGAACACCAAUUGCGAAGGCAGCUCACUACGGGUAUAUUGACACUGAGGCACGAAAGCGUGGGGAUCAAACAGGAUUAGAAACCCUUGUAGUCC
RNAcentral lists this ribosomal RNA (292 nucleotides) under uncultured bacterium. RNAcentral describes it as "partial 16S ribosomal RNA". It matches the Rfam family "Bacterial small subunit ribosomal RNA", at positions 505 to 796 of the family's 1533-position model. The record is from RNAcentral.